AAGUCGUAACAAGGUUUCCGUAGGUGAACCUGCGGAAGGAUCAUUAAUGAAAUGAUAAUUUUUUGGGGUUUUCCCUGAAAAAUAAUUCACCAUUUGUGCAUUGUUAUUAGAUAUACUUUGGUUAGAGCUUUGAUUUCAUUUAUUGGAAUCAACUUCUUGCUAACUCUAUCCUGUUAAGGACAGUUGGCUAUGAAGCGGCCUACCAAGGUUUUUUUAUCAAACUCUUGUAUUUUGUCUGACCUAAACUAUUAUAAUUAAAUCAUAACUUUCAACAACGGAUCUCUUGGCUCUC
RNAcentral lists this unclassified non-coding RNA (292 nucleotides) under fungal sp. Its description in RNAcentral is "partial internal transcribed spacer region". The stretch from base 1 to 46 matches the Rfam family "Eukaryotic small subunit ribosomal RNA", at positions 1786 to 1831 of the family's 1831-position model. The record is from RNAcentral. Lineage: Eukaryota; Fungi.